GAAGUUACCCAAACACUGGCACUAACUUGACAUUUUCAGAUACAGUAAGUGCUACUUGUUGGGGUAAUUUUA
Tetraodon nigroviridis (spotted green pufferfish) is the source of this 72-nucleotide non-coding RNA. NCBI's taxonomy places the organism in Eukaryota, Metazoa, Chordata, Actinopteri, Tetraodontiformes, Tetraodontidae. The record is from Rfam.